GUCCUCAUAGUCGGAUUUGAUAUAUUAGUAAUAUUACAUGAAACCAAUGGCAAUCAUGUUAAUUCUUGUCCAUAGUUUCUGGUUAUUGGUAGAAAAGAAACAUGUUUUCUUGAUUGAAACAGUACCAUAACUUUGCGCAAAGAGUCCCCUGGGCACAGAGUAAGUAUACAGAGGUCUCACUUCAGGUUAAUUUAGCUUAAGGGAUUUUUCAGUCCGCCAUGUUCUUAGCAAGUGCCUAAAGAGAGGCUGUUCCCCCUGAAAACAUAUUGAAACUUAAUGUUCCAGGGGGAUGAAUGCCUCUCUUUAGGGCACUUGCUAAGAACAUGGCCGCCAGAUAUGCGCAGUAAAACUUGCCUUGCGGUUUUCCCGCAAAGUGUGACCUCUGUAUGUACUUACCCUGUGCCUCAGGGUAUUUUGGGUGCAAACCUUGGCCCAUUAAAAUUUGGCUAUAU
Non-coding RNA from Paramuricea clavata, 452 nucleotides. The record is from the annotation of a GenBank genome assembly. NCBI's taxonomy places the organism in Eukaryota, Metazoa, Cnidaria, Anthozoa, Malacalcyonacea, Plexauridae.